Molecule: ribosomal RNA, 491 nt
Filed under: Botrytis cinerea
Lineage: Eukaryota; Fungi; Ascomycota; Leotiomycetes; Helotiales; Sclerotiniaceae
Description: eukaryotic LSU rRNA
Rfam family: 5.8S ribosomal RNA (bases 129-282)
Source: RNAcentral
AGGAACCCUCCCACCCUUGUGUAUUAUUACUUUGUUGCUUUGGCGAGCUGCCUUCGGGCCUUGUAUGCUCGCCAGAGAAUACCAAAACUCUUUUUAUUAAUGUCGUCUGAGUACUAUAUAAUAGUUAAAACUUUCAACAACGGAUCUCUUGGUUCUGGCAUCGAUGAAGAACGCAGCGAAAUGCGAUAAGUAAUGUGAAUUGCAGAAUUCAGUGAAUCAUCGAAUCUUUGAACGCACAUUGCGCCCCUUGGUAUUCCGGGGGGCAUGCCUGUUCGAGCGUCAUUUCAACCCUCAAGCUUAGCUUGGUAUUGAGUCUAUGUCAGUAAUGGCAGGCUCUAAAAUCAGUGGCGGCGCCGCUGGGUCCUGAACGUAGUAAUAUCUCUCGUUACAGGUUCUCGGUGUGCUUCUGCCAAAACCCAAAUUUUUCUAUGGUUGACCUCGGAUCAGGUAGGGAUACCCGCUGAACUUAAGCAUAUCAAAGCCCGGAGAAA